UACGAAGGGGGCUAGCGUUGCUCGGAAUCACUGGGCGUAAAGGGUGCGUAGGCGGAUCUUUAAGUCAGGGGUGAAAUCCUGGAGCUCAACUCCAGAACUGCCUUUGAUACUGAGGAUCUCGAGUUCGGGAGAGGUGAGUGGAACUGCGAGUGUAGAGGUGAAAAUUCGUAGAUAUUCGCAAGAACACCAGUGGCGAAGGCGGCUCACUGGCCCGAUACUGACGCUGAGGCACGAAAGCGUGGGGAGCAAACAGG
RNAcentral lists this ribosomal RNA (254 nucleotides) under uncultured bacterium. RNAcentral's name for it is "partial 16S ribosomal RNA". It matches the Rfam family "Bacterial small subunit ribosomal RNA", at positions 524 to 776 of the family's 1533-position model. The record is from RNAcentral.